AUGGCUUCCAAGCUUCAGCUCCUGUCCUCCAUUGCCACUAGAGUUGUUAUUGCUUCACUCUUCCACCCUUGUGCAUCCAUUGAGAUCCACCGUGAGCUCUCCGGCUGGUCCGAUGGCAUCGCUACGUGGUAUGGUGACGCCAAUGGCGCGGGAAGUGAAGGUGGCGCGUGCGGAUACCAGUAUGCUGUCGACCAGCCGCCGUUCUCAUCCAUGAUUGCCGCUGGCGGCCCUGUCAUAUACGACUCCGGCGAUGGCUGUGGCGCGUGCUACCGGGUGGUUUGCAGUGGCAAUCAAGCUUGCUCUGGCAUCCCGGUGACCGUCGUCAUCACGGACCAGGGCCCCGGUGGCGGCCCAUGCCUGAGCGGGCUAGUCGAUGGACAGUGCCAGAAUGAGGCAGCGCACUUCGACAUGAGCGGGACAGCAUUCGGCGCCAUGGCAAAACCUGGCCAAGCUGACCAACUCCGCGGUGCUGGCCUCAUUCAAAUCCAGUACACUCGCGUGACCUGUGACUGGACUGGAGUAGGCCUGACCUUCAAAGUGGACAGCGGCUCGAACCCGAACUACCUCGCCAUCCUGGUCGAGUACGAGGACGGCGACAGCGACCUCUACGCCGUCGACAUCAUGCAGAGCGGUGCCGGGGCAACCGGAGUGUGGAUCCCGAUGCAGCAGUCCUGGGGUGCGGUGUGGAAGCUUUCUGGGUCCACCCUCCAGGGCCCCUUCUCCAUCCGCCUGACGUUCAGGUCCGGCAAGAUGCUCGUCGCCGGCAACGCCAUACCCACCGGGUGGAACCCCGGCGUGGCGUACCAGCCAGGCGGCGUGGCGGUGAGGGAAAGAGCGAGCGGCGGCCGUCGGCGCCACGUGUUUGAAGGGGGGUUGGGCUGGCUGCAUCACCUCCUCCUGUUGCUGAUGGUGUUGUUCCAGCUGUGA
This 927-nucleotide ribosomal RNA is filed under the name Triticum aestivum (bread wheat). RNAcentral describes it as "partial small subunit ribosomal RNA". The record is from RNAcentral. Lineage: Eukaryota; Viridiplantae; Streptophyta; Magnoliopsida; Poales; Poaceae.